Molecule: ribosomal RNA, 635 nt
Filed under: Salmonella enterica
Lineage: Bacteria; Pseudomonadati; Pseudomonadota; Gammaproteobacteria; Enterobacterales; Enterobacteriaceae
Also listed under: 2 other names
Description: bacterial LSU rRNA
Rfam family: Bacterial large subunit ribosomal RNA
Source: RNAcentral
AGACCCGAAACCCGGUGAUCUAGCCAUGGGCAGGUUGAAGGUUGGGUAACACUAACUGGAGGACCGAACCGACUAAUGUUGAAAAAUUAGCGGAUGACCUGUGGCUGGGGGUGAAAGGCCAAUCAAACCGGGAGAUAGCUGGUUCUCCCCGAAAGCUAUUUAGGUAGCGCCUCGUGAAUUCAUCUCCGGGGGUAGAGCACUGUUUCGGCUAGGGGGCCAUCCCGGCUUACCAACCCGAUGCAAACUGCGAAUACCGGAGAAUGUUAUCACGGGAGACACACGGCGGGUGCUAACGUCCGUCGUGAAGAGGGAAACAACCCAGACCGCCAGCUAAGGUCCCAAAGUCAUGGUUAAGUGGGAAACGAUGUGGGAAGGCCCAGACAGCCAGGAUGUUGGCUUAGAAGCAGCCAUCAUUUAAAGAAAGCGUAAUAGCUCACUGGUCGAGUCGGCCUGCGCGGAAGAUGUAACGGGGCUAAACCAUGCACCGAAGCUGCGGCAGCGAACGUAUCACCCAAGACAACUUUACGGAGUUGACGAUUGACGGAGCGAAGCGACGUCAAAGCGUUCAUUAAAGUCGAGUUGGCUUAGGGAUACGUUCGUUGGGUAGGGGAGCGUUCUGUAAGCCUGUGAAGGUG